RNAcentral lists this ribosomal RNA (1403 nucleotides) under uncultured bacterium. Its description in RNAcentral is "16S ribosomal RNA". It matches the Rfam family "Bacterial small subunit ribosomal RNA". The record is from RNAcentral.
UUAGAGUUUGAUCCUGGCUCAGGACGAACGCUGGCGGCGUGCCUAACACAUGCAAGUCGAGCGGUUCUCACCUAAAAACCUUCGGGGGCUUAGGUGAGGAUAGCGGCGAACGGGUGAGUGACGCGUGAGAAACCUGCCUUUCACAAAGGGAUAGCCUCGGGAAACUGGGAUUAAUACCUUAUGAAACUAUAAUAUCGCAUGAUAUAAUAGUCAAAGAUUUAUCGGUGAAAGAUGGUCUCGCGUCCCAUUAGCUAGUUGGUGAGGUAAGAGCUCACCAAGGCGACGAUGGGUAGCCGGCCUGAGAGGGUGAACGGCCACACUGGAACUGAGACACGGUCCAGACUCCUACGGGAGGCAGCAGUGGGGAAUAUUGGUCAAUGGGCGAAAGCCUGAACCAGCUAUGUAGCGUGAAGGAUGACUGCCCUAUGGGUUGUAAACUUCUUUUGUUCGGGAAUAACAGACUUCACUUGUGGAGUUUUGCAUGUACCGUUCGAAUAAGGAUCGGCUAACUCCGUGCCAGCAGCCGCGGUAAUACGGAGGAUCCUAGCGUUAUUCGGAAUCAUUGGGCGUAAAGGGCGCGCAGGCGGCGUGUAAAGUCUGGCGUGGAAGUCCCCGGCUCAACUGGGGGAUUGCGUUGGAAACUGGCACGCUUGAGUACGACAGGGGAUGGCGGAAUUCCAGGUGUAGGGGUGAAAUCUGUAGAUAUCUGGAGGAACACCAAUGGCGAAGGCAGCCAUCUGGAUCAGUACUGACGCUGAGGCGCGAAGGUGCGGGGAGCAAACAGGUUUAGAUACCCUGGUAGUCCGCACAGUAAACGAUGUGCACUAGGUGUCGGGCAGUCAAUGUUCGGUACCGCAGCAAACGCGUUAAGUGCACCGCCUGGGGAGUAUGCCCGCAAGGGUGAAACUCAAAGGAAUUGACGGGGGCCCGCACAAGCGGAGGAACAUGUGGUUUAAUUCGAUGAUACGCGAGGAACCUUACCCGGGCUCGAACGGUGCAUGAAUAUACGAGAGAUUGUAUAGUCCUUCGGGACAUGUAUCGAGGUGCUGCAUGGUUGUCGUCAGCUCGUGCCGUGAGGUGUCGGCUUAAGUGCCAUAACGAGCGCAACCCUUGUCAUUAGUUGCCAUCAUUUAGUUGGGCACUCUAACGAGACUGCCGGUGACAAAUCGGAGGAAGGUGGGGAUGACGUCAAAUCAUCAUGCCCCUUAUGUCCUGGGCUACACACGUGCUACAAUGGUCGGUACAACGAGCAGCUACACAGCAAUGUGAUGCAAAUCUCUUAAAGCCGAUCCCAGUUCGGAUUGUAGGCUGCAACUCGCCUACAUGAAGUCGGAGUUGCUAGUAAUCGCGAAUCAGAAUGUCGCGGUGAAUGCGUUCCCGGGUCUUGCACACACCGCCCGUCA